UACGUAGGGGGCAAGCGUUGUCCGGAAUUAUUGGGCGUAAAGCGCUCGCAGGCGGUCCUUUAAGUCUGAUGUGAAAGCCCACGGCUCAACCGUGGAGGGUCAUUGGAAACUGGGGGACUUGAGUACAGAAGAGAAGAGUGGAAUUCCACGUGUAGCGGUGAAAUGCGUAGAGAUGUGGAGGAACACCAGUGGCGAAGGCGACUCUUUGGUCUGUAACUGACGCUGAGGAGCGAAAGCGUGGGGAGCAAACAGG
RNAcentral lists this ribosomal RNA (253 nucleotides) under uncultured bacterium. Its description in RNAcentral is "partial 16S ribosomal RNA". It matches the Rfam family "Bacterial small subunit ribosomal RNA", at positions 524 to 776 of the family's 1533-position model. The record is from RNAcentral.